Bos taurus (domestic cattle) is the source of this 698-nucleotide long non-coding RNA. Lineage: Eukaryota; Metazoa; Chordata; Mammalia; Artiodactyla; Bovidae. The record is from Ensembl.
AGAAAAGGUGGGGGGAAUGGGUAUUUGUUCUAGAAGACCCCCCAAAUGACUUAACUUCCUUCAUAACUAUGCCACAUCCAGUCUGGACCUUGCUGCCAGUGGAGUGGGAUCCCCAUGACUUUCUUAGGACUUGAAAUGGAGAACGUGGCCACCUAGGGAAAGAGCUGUAACAGUCAGGUCUGUUGUGACAUGUGUGUGCUCAGCUGCUUCUGACUCUUUGUGACCCCACGGACUUCAGCCCAUCAGGCUCCUCUGUCCAUGGGAUUCGCCAGGCAAGAGUACUGGUCACCAUUUCCCUCUCCAGGGGAUCUUCCCGACCCAGGGAUCGAACCAGCCAUCUCCUGUGUCUCCUGCAUUGGCCCAGCAUGGGUUAUGGCGCCAGGAUUCGACCCCAAAGUCAGUGACUCGGCACUAAAACAUCUACUGCUGUCAAAAUCCAUGGUGGAGCCAGCGCUCUGGUCUCUGGGAGUGAGGGAGGGGCCUGGAGCUCUCGGACCCAGGCAAGGGAUAGAUGAUCUGGUCUACAGAAGCGGUCUGAUGAAACCAAUGGACGGAAAGUGGGGCAAACUAUUCAGAGACCCAGCACAUCCUGCGCCCUUAGAGACAACGUGAGGCCCUGUCAACUGAAGGAAGAAAAGGCAAGGAGGAAGCUGGGGGUUCAGGGCAGGCGCAGCCUUCUACCUGUGCCCCUCCUGAGU